AGUCGCAAGACCGCGAGGUUUAGCAAAUCUCUUAAAGCCGUUCUCAGUUCGGAUUGUAGGCUGCAACUCGCCUACAUGAAGUCGGAAUCGCUAGUAAUCGCGGAUCAGCAUGCCGCGGUGAAUACGUUCCCGGGCCUUGUACACACCGCCCGUCACACCAUGAGAGUUUGUAACACCCAAAGCCGGUGGGGUAACCUUUUGGAGCCAGCCGUCUAAGGUGGGACAGAUGAUCGGGGUGAAGUCGUAACAAGGUACC
Molecule: ribosomal RNA, 256 nt
Filed under: uncultured bacterium
Lineage: Bacteria
Description: partial 16S ribosomal RNA
Rfam family: Bacterial small subunit ribosomal RNA
Source: RNAcentral